RNAcentral lists this ribosomal RNA (661 nucleotides) under Salmonella enterica subsp. enterica serovar Anatum. RNAcentral describes it as "partial 23S ribosomal RNA". It matches the Rfam family "Bacterial large subunit ribosomal RNA", at positions 2079 to 2739 of the family's 2925-position model. Lineage: Bacteria; Pseudomonadati; Pseudomonadota; Gammaproteobacteria; Enterobacterales; Enterobacteriaceae. The record is from RNAcentral.
GACGGAAAGACCCCGUGAACCUUUACUAUAGCUUGACACUGAACAUUGAGCCUUGAUGUGUAGGAUAGGUGGGAGGCUUUGAAGUGUGGACGCCAGUCUGCAUGGAGCCGACCUUGAAAUACCACCCUUUAAUGUUUGAUGUUCUAACGUGGACCCGUGAUCCGGGUUGCGGACAGUGUCUGGUGGGUAGUUUGACUGGGGCGGUCUCCUCCUAAAGAGUAACGGAGGAGCACGAAGGUUGGCUAAUCCUGGUCGGACAUCAGGAGGUUAGUGCAAUGGCAUAAGCCAGCUUGACUGCGAGCGUGACGGCGCGAGCAGGUGCGAAAGCAGGUCAUAGUGAUCCGGUGGUUCUGAAUGGAAGGGCCAUCGCUCAACGGAUAAAAGGUACUCCGGGGAUAACAGGCUGAUACCGCCCAAGAGUUCAUAUCGACGGCGGUGUUUGGCACCUCGAUGUCGGCUCAUCACAUCCUGGGGCUGAAGUAGGUCCCAAGGGUAUGGCUGUUCGCCAUUUAAAGUGGUACGCGAGCUGGGUUUAGAACGUCGUGAGACAGUUCGGUCCCUAUCUGCCGUGGGCGCUGGAGAACUGAGGGGGGCUGCUCCUAGUACGAGAGGACCGGAGUGGACGCAUCACUGGUGUUCGGGUUGUCAUGCCAAUGGCACU